CAUCAGCAGGCAGAACUAGGCCAUUCCUGGGGGGCACCACCUGGGGCGUGGGAGUGAAUCACAGAUGUGGCCUGAGAUGAUUGACAGGAGGUUGUGGGAUGAGCCUGAGCAGAGACCCAGGAGGGAAGAAACCUCUCUCUGACUCUUUGCGCGCGGACCUGGACCCGUACCUCCAUCGCAGAUGAGGAAAGCGGGGCUGAAGAAGGAUGAGCACCUUGCAGGUAGGGCAACGGAGAGCUAGAUUUAUACCCACUUCUGCAGAAUCCGGCCUUGCCUCCUCCAGUCUCAGCUGCUCCGAAGUGCCUCCCUCACCCCCUGGACUUGCAACUCCUUGCAAGGGAGUUGAUCCAACUCCUGGGCCUUUGCACAAUCUAGGAAUGACUUUCUCCACCUCUCCAGCCCCCAGCAAACUCCCACUCACCUUUACUUCAAGGUCAAGUAUCUGAAACACCUUCCUCUACACCAGGUACCUUAUCUUCCUUUGUCUUUAUGUUGACAACUGGACAUUACACGGUGGAUUCUGGAUUUGGAUGAGCCACUUGUAGCCUGACUCCUUCCCCUGACGAGGCUGUGGGCCUCUGGAAGCCAAGACUCACACUUCAGGUUUGAAAUGUAUAAUUACUACACUCGUGAGUUACCGGAGCAGUGAAGGUCAAGAGCAUGGGUGGUAGAGUCCAGUCUCUUCCAUGCCUUUCUCUGUCAUCUACAAAAUGGGGAUCACACUCCAUUCACCUCACUGGAUUGUCAUGAGCAAUGGGCUGGAAACGGCCUGGCCCAGGUGAGCCCUUGUGAAUCUAUCCCUGUGCCCACCAUGGUCUCCUGUACUCUGAGGACCCUUGGAAGCACACAUCAUCCGCUCGCUUGCAGAAAAGAAAACUGAGACCUGGUACCCAAGGUGUCCAGCUGGCCCUCUGGACUCCAACCCUGGGCUCCCCACCCCUGCCCCACCUCAGCCUAGCACCUCUCAAAUAGCCCUGGCAGCCACACAAGCUCAGUCAGGUGCGUGUUAGCUGCAUUCAUGGAAGAUGAGUCACGGGUGGCAUGCUUGCCCUCUCUGGUCAGACCAAAAUAUCCUGGUGAAUGUUUGGCGUUAAGUAAUAAACUCUGACUGGGUGAUGUCUGAUGGUCACUCCUCUUGCCUCAGCUUCAUGUCAUUUCCUUAAUGUCAACUGCUGUCCCCUCCCACACAGUGCACUCCCUGAAGAAGCAACACAGGAAGGGCAGACGGGAAACUAGCGAGAAUGAAGGGGAAGAGCCCUCCUGGGGAAUGAUUCUGAUUGCGGCUUUGUAUGGCGUGACUUUUGUGUCUGUAAACAUCCCACAUCCAAAAAAAUAAACCAAACUGGGGUGAGUGUGUGGGAAUGCAUUGACUCCUUAUUAAAACUGAUAAAAUAACCAGA
Molecule: non-coding RNA, 1400 nt
Organism: Ictidomys tridecemlineatus (thirteen-lined ground squirrel)
Lineage: Eukaryota; Metazoa; Chordata; Mammalia; Rodentia; Sciuridae
Source: RefSeq, a predicted model, not a curated record